AUGAGUGUUUUCAUAAAAGUCACUUAACUUUAAUUUCCUUCGUAAAACUCUCUGAACUUUAAUUUGAUUUCAUAAAAGUUGUUGUGAUCGAAAAUUAGAUGUUUUUAGGUUAAUUUGCCGACUUAUCAACAAUUUUACAAAUAAAUUUACCUAGCUAGCCCUUCCCCUCUCUCUCUUCUCCCUCCCUCUCUCUCACAGAUUCUAUCUCUCUUUUCUCCCUAUCUCCUUUUCCCUCACACAUUCUAAUUUGGAAGUGGAACACUAUCUAAUCUCAUCGCUUCUUCAGUUCUAUCUCUUAAUCUCUCAUCCUUGUGCCGUAAGCCUUUCACCUUUCAGCCUCACCAUUUUUUACUAUAAUCUCUUCCCCCCAACCCUCGAUUUCUUGUCUCCCACCCAACCUGCCUCGAGACCCACUCAAUUGAAGCCUCGAUUACACUCUAGAGCCUCCCUCGAUCGCACCCACAUGCAUAGGCUUCUCCUACAUAUCUAAAGAAAGCAGAUGCAGACGAAGACAUAGAUGGCUUCUGUUGUAGAUGAACCUCGUGGUGCUAUUUCCAUCAUUUGUCCUUGUGCUGCUGAGAUCCAGGUCGUGGAGAUGAAGAUGACUUCUCUUGCUUCUAGUUGAUUAUUGAAUGACGAAGAUGAAUGGGUGAUUGGUGAAGAUAGCGACGUUUUCAAUUUGCAUUUGUAUUUUGUUGUUUGUUGUUUUGAGUUGUAAAUGAAAAUGGUUAUGUUGUUGUUGUAAACAAUUGCUGCUUCAAUUGAGUUUUUAUUGUUGGAAAUGGAAAUAAUUGCUGGGUUCUUUUUCAAUUGAAAAUGGGCGAUGUUUUGUUUGAUAAAUCCUUAAAGAUAGGUGAGAGUAAAUAGGUAAAGGGUACUUAAGUAAUUUUAUUUAUAAAAUGAUGCAAAGUCAGCAAGUUGACUGGAAAAUUUGUAAUAUUAGGUCACAAUGACUUUUCAAAGGGCUCUCAUCUCUCAAGGUUGAGCCGCAUCUUGGAUUUUAAGGGUCAAGUCCAUUAGGAUUGAGUUUAGACCAAGUCGAAGUGUCAAACUAAAUUGGAGGAAGAAUGAUUUUGGCGUUCUGCUCAUGAGGAAGGUUGUGAUUGUGUGAGACAGAGAGAAAUAGAGGGAAAUCUGCAAAAAAAAAGUUGAGACAACAUUCAUAAGAGUGGCUAUCAUUAGCCGGUCCCAAGCCCGGAUA
Molecule: unclassified non-coding RNA, 1201 nt
Filed under: Hevea brasiliensis (rubber tree)
Lineage: Eukaryota; Viridiplantae; Streptophyta; Magnoliopsida; Malpighiales; Euphorbiaceae
Source: RNAcentral